GCCAGCUUAGCUCAGUUGGUAGAGCAAUGCACUCGUAACGCAUAGGUCACAGGUUCGAUCCCUGCAGCUGGCACUA
RNAcentral lists this transfer RNA (76 nucleotides) under Enterococcus termitis. RNAcentral's name for it is "tRNA-Thr". It matches the Rfam family "tRNA". Rfam says of the family: Transfer RNA (tRNA) molecules are approximately 80 nucleotides in length. Their secondary structure includes four short double-helical elements and three loops (D, anti-codon, and T loops). The record is from RNAcentral. Lineage: Bacteria; Bacillati; Bacillota; Bacilli; Lactobacillales; Enterococcaceae.